UACAGAGGUCUCAAGCGUUGUUCGGAUUCAUUGGGCGUAAAGGGUGCGUAGGUGGCAUGGUAAGUCGGAUGUGAAAUCCCGGGGCUCAACCCCGGAACUGCAUUCGAUUCUGCUGCGCUAGAGUACUGGAGAGGGGAUUGGAAUUUACGGUGUAGCAGUGAAAUGCGUAGAUAUCGUAAGGAAGACCAGUGGCGAAGGCGGAUCUCUGGACAGUUACUGACACUGAGGCACGAAGGCCAGGGGAGCAAACGGG
RNAcentral lists this ribosomal RNA (253 nucleotides) under uncultured bacterium. Its description in RNAcentral is "partial 16S ribosomal RNA". It matches the Rfam family "Bacterial small subunit ribosomal RNA", at positions 524 to 776 of the family's 1533-position model. The record is from RNAcentral.